This is a long non-coding RNA of Nicotiana attenuata, 698 nucleotides long. RefSeq lists it as uncharacterized. The transcript has 3 exons. The record is from RefSeq and is a predicted model, not a curated record. Lineage: Eukaryota; Viridiplantae; Streptophyta; Magnoliopsida; Solanales; Solanaceae.
ACCUUUAACAACACCUAAUGAAACUGUGCUUUAAUCCCAAAAUUGGACCUCCACCGCAUCAGUUCUUCCACGGUUCCACCCAUUUCACAAAAUAUGUGUCUGUGAUUUUUGUCUUCUGUGUAAUAACAAAUUGUUGCAAUUCAUUCUUUCUUACUUUCCCUUUCCUUCGUCUCUGCUCUGUUGCUUCUUGGCCAGACUAAGCUUCUUUGUGGCAUGUGCUGUAUGUGUAUGUCUAUGGCCUUUUUUCAGUUCUUUCUUUGUUUGGUGAACCAUUUGAGCUUGAUAAUGGGACUUUGAAAUUGGAAAACAACUUAAAGAGAAUGAAUCUGAACCAGAGAAGAAGAGGUUAAUGGAGCUUGGAACAGGAUCGGCUUCUUAAACGAGAUAUUUCUUUCUUCUUUUAGUAGCAUUCAGAUGUUGAUGCCAGGGAAGGCUUAUAAUAGGCUCUGAUGGUAUAUGGAAUGCUUUAUCAUCGGAUUUUGCAGCAUAGUCUUGCAGAGCUUUACCGAUAAAACUUGUUGCAAAGAUAGUUGUGAAGGUAUGGAGUAGGUUAUCAAGUUUAAAAGUGUCAAUCAAAUACGUGAAUUACUCAAAUCAAUUUACUGUCAUAGUGCUGAAUUUUUUUUUAUGUCACAUUAUUUGGAUUUUUUUGUCCUAUAAUAACUUACAUUAAUUCAUCAAGCCUUAGAGGCCUGACU